This 75-nucleotide transfer RNA is filed under the name Candidatus Kerfeldbacteria bacterium. Its description in RNAcentral is "tRNA-Trp". It matches the Rfam family "tRNA". From Rfam's summary of the family: Transfer RNA (tRNA) molecules are approximately 80 nucleotides in length. Their secondary structure includes four short double-helical elements and three loops (D, anti-codon, and T loops). Lineage: Bacteria; Candidatus Kerfeldiibacteriota. The record is from RNAcentral.
GGGGAUGUCGUCCAAUGGCUAGGACUCUGGUCUCCAAAACCAGGUAUGAAGGUUCGAGUCCUUCCGUCCCCGCCA